GACGAACGCUGGCGGCGUGCCUAAUACAUGCAAGUUGAGCGCUGAAGGUUGGUACUUGUACCAACUGGAUGAGCAGCGAACGGGUGAGUAACGCGUGGGGAAUCUGCCUUUGAGCGGGGGACAACAUUUGGAAACGAAUGCUAAUACCGCAUAAAAACUUUAAACACAAGUUUUAAGUUUGAAAGAUGCAAUUGCAUCACUCAAAGAUGAUCCCGCGUUGUAUUAGCUAGUUGGUGAGGUAAAGGCUCACCAAGGCGAUGAUACAUAGCCGACCUGAGAGGGUGAUCGGCCACAUUGGGACUGAGACACGGCCCAAACUCCUACGGGAGGCAGCAGUAGGGAAUCUUCGGCAAUGGACGAAAGUCUGACCGAGCAACGCCGCGUGAGUGAAGAAGGUUGUCGGAUCGUAAAACUCUGUUGGUAGAGAAGAACAUUGGUGAGAGUGGAAAGCUCAUCAAGUGACGGUAACUACCCAGAAAGGGACGGCUAACUACGUG
Molecule: ribosomal RNA, 497 nt
Filed under: uncultured bacterium
Lineage: Bacteria
Description: partial 16S ribosomal RNA
Rfam family: Bacterial small subunit ribosomal RNA
Source: RNAcentral